This 290-nucleotide unclassified non-coding RNA is filed under the name uncultured fungus. RNAcentral describes it as "partial contains small subunit ribosomal RNA, internal transcribed spacer 1, and 5.8S ribosomal RNA". The stretch from base 1 to 73 matches the Rfam family "Eukaryotic small subunit ribosomal RNA", at positions 1759 to 1831 of the family's 1831-position model. Lineage: Eukaryota; Fungi. The record is from RNAcentral.
UCAAACUUGGUCAUUUAGAGGAAGUAAAAGUCGUAACAAGGUUUCCGUAGGUGAACCUGCGGAAGGAUCAUUACCUUAACUAGCAUUUUUAAUGCUACUACCCUUUGUGAACCAAAACCUUUACGCUUCGGUAGCAGGCAGCCCCAACCUUGGUGCUGCUGUCAGCCUGCCGCUAGCACUCUUUAUAAACUCAUGUUUGCAUAAAACUUGUCUGAACAGAAUCAUUUUCGAAUGAAAUUAAAACUUUCAACAACGGAUCUCUUGGUUCUCGCAUCGAUGAAGAACGCAGC